Molecule: ribosomal RNA, 380 nt
Filed under: uncultured eukaryote
Lineage: Eukaryota
Description: SSU rRNA
Rfam family: Eukaryotic small subunit ribosomal RNA
Source: RNAcentral
UGCUCCAAUAGCGUAUAUUAAAAUUGUUGCGGUUAAAAAGCUCGUAGUUGGAUUGAAGGAGGUGAGCGGGAAGGUCUGCCUCACGGCGUGACCGCCUGCUAGCUUUCUGAAUGCCCGAUCACGAUUGGGAUGGCCUUAACUGGUUGUUCUGCGUGAUCGAGCCGUGUACUUUGAAUAAAUUGGAGUGUUCAAAACAGGCGCUUGCGCUCGGACAUUUUAGCAUAGGAUACUGGAAUAGGGCAUAAGAGGUUUAUUUAGUGGCCUCUUGUGCAAUGAUUAACAGAAACGGUUGGGGGUGUUCAUAUUUAUUAGUCAGAGGUGAAAUUCUUGGAUUUGAGAAAGAUGCACUGUUGCGAAAGCGUUCAUCAAGGACGUUUUCA